Molecule: ribosomal RNA, 1518 nt
Filed under: Escherichia coli
Lineage: Bacteria; Pseudomonadati; Pseudomonadota; Gammaproteobacteria; Enterobacterales; Enterobacteriaceae
Description: partial 23S ribosomal RNA
Rfam family: Bacterial large subunit ribosomal RNA
Source: RNAcentral
GACACACUAUCAUUAACUGAAUCCAUAGGUUAAUGAGGCGAACCGGGGGAACUGAAACAUCUAAGUACCCCGAGGAAAAGAAAUCAACCGAGAUUCCCCCAGUAGCGGCGAGCGAACGGGGAGCAGCCCAGAGCCUGAAUCAGUAUGUGUGUUAGUGGAAGCGUCUGGAAAGGCGCGCGAUACAGGGUGACAGCCCCGUACACAAAAAUGCACAUGCUGUGAGCUCGAUGAGUAGGGCGGGACACGUGGUAUCCUGUCUGAAUAUGGGGGGACCAUCCUCCAAGGCUAAAUACUCCUGACUGACCGAUAGUGAACCAGUACCGUGAGGGAAAGGCGAAAAGAACCCCGGCGAGGGGAGUGAAAAAGAACCUGAAACCGUGUACGUACAAGCAGUGGGAGCACGCUUAGGCGUGUGACUGCGUACCUUUUGUAUAAUGGGUCAGCGACUUAUAUUCUGUAGCAAGGUUAACCGAAUAGGGGAGCCGAAGGGAAACCGAGUCUUAACUGGGCGUUAAGUUGCAGGGUAUAGACCCGAAACCCGGUGAUCUAGCCAUGGGCAGGUUGAAGGUUGGGUAACACUAACUGGAGGACCGAACCGACUAAUGUUGAAAAAUUAGCGGAUGACUUGUGGCUGGGGGUGAAAGGCCAAUCAAACCGGGAGAUAGCUGGUUCUCCCCGAAAGCUAUUUAGGUAGCGCCUCGUGAAUUCAUCUCCGGGGGUAGAGCACUGUUUCGGCAAGGGGGUCAUCCCGACUUACCAACCCGAUGCAAACUGCGAAUACCGGAGAAUGUUAUCACGGGAGACACACGGCGGGUGCUAACGUCCGUCGUGAAGAGGGAAACAACCCAGACCGCCAGCUAAGGUCCCAAAGUCAUGGUUAAGUGGGAAACGAUGUGGGAAGGCCCAGACAGCCAGGAUGUUGGCUUAGAAGCAGCCAUCAUUUAAAGAAAGCGUAAUAGCUCACUGGUCGAGUCGGCCUGCGCGGAAGAUGUAACGGGGCUAAACCAUGCACCGAAGCUGCGGCAGCGACGCUGAUGCGUUGUUGGGUAGGGGAGCGUUCUGUAAGCCUGCGAAGGUGUGCUGUGAGGCAUGCUGGAGGUAUCAGAAGUGCGAAUGCUGACAUAAGUAACGAUAAAGCGGGUGAAAAGCCCGCUCGCCGGAAGACCAAGGGUUCCUGUCCAACGUUAAUCGGGGCAGGGUGAGUCGACCCCUAAGGCGAGGCCGAAAGGCGUAGUCGAUGGGAAACAGGUUAAUAUUCCUGUACUUGGUGUUACUGCGAAGGGGGGACGGAGAAGGCUAUGUUGGCCGGGCGACGGUUGUCCCGGUUUAAGCGUGUAGGCUGGUUUUCCAGGCAAAUCCGGAAAAUCAAGGCUGAGGCGUGAUGACGAGGCACUGCGGUGCUGAAGCAACAAAUGCCCUGCUUCCAGGAAAAGCCUCUAAGCAUCAGGUAACAUCAAAUCGUACCCCAAACCGACACAGGUGGUCAGGUAGAGAAUACCAAGGCGCUUGAGAGAACUC